CAGUCGCCGCGGUAAUACGGAGGGUGCAAGCGUUAAUCGGAAUUACUGGGCGUAAAGCGCACGCAGGCGGUCUGUCAAGUCAGAUGUGAAAUCCCCGGGCUUAACCUGGGAACUGCAUUUGAAACUGGCAGGCUAGAGUCUUGUAGAGGGGGGUAGAAUUCCAGGUGUAGCGGUGAAAUGCGUAGAGAUCUGGAGGAAUACCGAUGGCGAAGGCAGCCAUCUGGCCUAAUACUGACGCUGAGGUACGAAAGCAUGGGGAGCAAACAGGAUUAGAUACCCGUGUAGUCCCUGUCUCUUAUAC
Molecule: ribosomal RNA, 301 nt
Filed under: uncultured bacterium
Lineage: Bacteria
Description: partial 16S ribosomal RNA
Rfam family: Bacterial small subunit ribosomal RNA
Source: RNAcentral